This 465-nucleotide ribosomal RNA is filed under the name uncultured bacterium. RNAcentral describes it as "partial 16S ribosomal RNA". It matches the Rfam family "Bacterial small subunit ribosomal RNA", at positions 28 to 507 of the family's 1533-position model. The record is from RNAcentral.
GACGAACGCUGGCGGCGUGCUUAACACAUGCAAGUCGUACGGUAAGGCCCUUUCGGGGGUACACGAGUGGCGAACGGGUGAGUAACACGUGAGUAACCUGCCCACAACUUUGGGAUAACGCUAGGGAACUGGUGCUAAUACUGGAUAUGUGCUCCUGCUGCAUGGUGGGGGUUGGAAAGCUCCGGCGGUUGUGGAUGGACUCGCGGCCUAUCAGCUUGUUGGUGGGGUAGUGGCCUACCAAGGCGGCGACGGGUAGCCGGCCUGAGAGGGUGACCGGCCACAUAGGGACUGAGAGACGGCCCAGACUCCGACGGGAGGCAGAAGGGGGGAAGAUUGAACAAGGGGCGCAAGCCUGAUGCAGCAACGCCGCGGGCGGGAGGACGGCCUUCGGGUGGUAAAACGCUUUCAGCAGGGACGAAGCUUUUUGUGACGGUACCUGCAGAAGAAGCACCGGCUAACUACGUG